Molecule: long non-coding RNA, 2655 nt
Filed under: Homo sapiens (human)
Lineage: Eukaryota; Metazoa; Chordata; Mammalia; Primates; Hominidae
Description: HSALNT0079205
Source: RNAcentral
CCCAAAGAAAAAAACAAAUGUUACCCAAUAGGCAAACAAUGCUGAGAGUUCACUUCCUCUAACUCUGUAGUUAAGUUACUCACUCAGUAUAACAUCACCCUCCUGCCAGGGGUUGAAGUCAGGAAGUAGUUUAUUUUCGCUGAAACUGAAGGGGGAAGUUAAAGAGAAAAAUAGCUGCAACUUGGUCAAUUCAGGAAAACCAGGUACGAAAAAAGAGGAGCAAGUUAAAGGGAAAGCCAGCUCGGAUUUGCUCACCAGUAAAAGGCAAAAAUCCCAGUGUUAUUCAUCUGCAUUUGGUGUGAAAGACAAAAGCUCAACUGGGAUCUGAGGCUUUCUGUGUCAGAGGGCAAGGAGUCAAUGGGGUUAUGAGGAAGUAAGACCACUUGAGACAUCAAAGAAAAGUAGAUCAAAUCACUAGACUCCUCCAAACAGGAGUGGGUGAAGACAAAAAGUGGAGAGAAUCCAGAGGGAAGAGAGGAGUAGGGAAAAUGGUGGAAAGGGAAGGUUUUUGAGAUGGAAGGCAGAGAAUGGGAACAAAAGAAGAAAAAGCUGUUUGUUUCAAAUCAAUAUUCUCCAAGAGGAUGUCUUGUUUCCCCAGGGAUAUUCUGAGGGACUCACAGGAUCAGAGCUGCGACACUUCUAACAUAUGAAUUCUCUCAAUUCUGAUGCCCUUUGACCUCUGCCACACAAUGCCAAGACAAACCCAGACCCCAGGCCCUGGAAACAGAGGAGGGGCAGGUAAGCAACCAGAGGCAGGAAAGGAAAAAUGGGAAGGUAUGGAAAGCCAACUCUAUGGGAAAUUAAGGUUUGUGGGGUCAAGUGCUGGUGGAAUCAUUCUACAAUUUUAUUCAAUCUGAAAUGCGUAUAACUUCCAUGUACUAUUUUUAGAAGCUACUAUUUUGUGAAGUGGGUCAACAUUAGGUAAACCGUAAAUGAUUUGGUUUUACUGUUUUUUUUUCCAGGGACCACCUUCCCCCCCCCACAGAAUUUAUAGGAGAACACAAAUAUAGAUUAAAACAUCUUAUAUUUUUAAGAAUUCAGUUGACUUUACAUACAAUUCCCUCCAUUUUCUUUUUCUUUUAUUUUUACUUCAAGUACAAAUAUUUACAUAUCUGAAGGCACUGAACUUAUUUUGUGCAAUCAAGACAUAUAUUGUUUCAAACCAAUGUGUCUCCAAGGGGAUGGAGGUAUUCUUGAAAUGUCAUUAAUGUGACUUUUCUAGUGUCACACCUUAUUUAUAUUAUUUAUAAAUGAGAAGAAUAGUAUUGCUACUUGUUUUAAAAGUGACAGAAACCACAGACCAGAAAUCCUUCCUUUAAUCCUUCCCACUUGCUCACUGACAUAGGGAAAGGCUUCAGUCAUUUUCAGCUUUUAUCCUUUUCUCCCACUUGUAAAUUGGGUGCAUUUCUAUUCUUACACUUUCUCCUUCUCCAUCAAAUUCCAAAGUGGAAUACAAGAAGGAAACUUACUAAUACCAUAGUUUGGGGGCAGGAAUUAUGCUCAGUGAGGAGUGGAUAUAUUGGGCACGUAGGCAUUUCUAGUACUUUUCUCUAUUUUCUCAUUAAAUUCCUUUUACUCUGCUGAAGUCAAUCUCUUUGAGGGAAAUUCUAGGUCUCAGGAGACAGAGCUUAGGUUUUCAUGCCAGAGAUGCCUGCCCUAGAGUCUCAGAGACACCUAUUUACCCUCUUUCCUCAUCUUUAAAAUGAAGGUACAAUACUUAUUUCACAGCACUUUUACAAGCACCAAAUGCAAUAAACAUCCUAACUAUCUGGACUGCAAAACUGGCCCUCACUCAAGGCAAGAACUUAAAUAAUGUUGACAUGGACAAGAGACAGGGAAAUACUGGGUAGAAGGGCGGUUCUCCAGCAAAGGCCCCAUCCUCAAGCCUGGAAUCCCACAGCCCUGAAUAAGAAUAGGCAUUCUUGUUUUCACACCCAAAAGUUGCCUUUUGGCCUGCCACACCCCCUUCCUGUACUCAUAUAAACCCCAGACCCCAGGCUCCCGAAGAAGAUGAGGAGACAAACAGAAAAGCAAAAGACCAGCAGAAUAGUGCGGCAGAGAGAAGAGAAGGAACGUUUGAAUGUUGAGAGGAAUUCAGCUGGGGGUGAUAAGAGAGGGGAUCGGCUGUGGGACAGCCAAACUCCAGGGGAAGAUCAUCUUCCUACUCCAUCCCCCUUCCAGCUCCCCAUCCAUCCUGCUGAGAGCCACCUCCACCACUCAAUAAAACCCCUACAUUCAUCCUUCAAGUCCAUGUAUGACCUAAUUUUUUCUGGAUGCCAGACAAGGACUUGGGUACCAAGAGGGUCCACUGAGCUGUCUAACACUUAAGCUGUCUGUGGACAGCAAGGCUAAAAUAGCACACUGUAACCGGUCCCCACCUAGGCUUCAGGAGUCACAGACAUGCACCCCUAGACACAACCAUGGGGCCAGAGCCCAAAAAGAACUUGCCCUGGCUCCUGCACCUGCCCAUCUGCAUGCUCCUCCUCCCAUAAGGGGUUUGAGCACAUGGCGGCCACACACAAGCCACACCCCUGUCGCAUGUGCUGCAAGGGGGGUCAGGGAACUCUCCCAUUUCAAUGAUGACUUUGUUAAAUGGUCCAUAAGGGCUAUCCCCCCACACCUCUACCACACCAUGCCCCAUCUGUUUUCUUCCAG